AGAGUUUGAUCUGGCUCAGGACGAACGCUGGCGGCGUGCUUAACACAUGCAAGUCGAGCGGUAAGGCACCUUCGGGUGUACACGAGCGGCGAACGGGUGAGUAACACGUGAGUAAUCUGCCCUUCAGUUCGGGAUAACCACCGGAAACGGUGGCUAAUACCGAAUACGACCAACCUCGGCAUCGGGUGUUGGUGGAAAGUUUUUUCGCUGGAGGAUGUGCUCGCGGCCUAUCAGCUUGUUGGUGAGGUAACGGCUCACCAAGGCUUCGACGGGUAGCCGGCCUGAGAGGGUGACCGGCCACACUGGGACUGAGACACGGCCCAGACUCCUACGGGAGGCAGCAGUGGGGAAUAUUGGACAAUGGGCGAAAGCCUGAUCCAGCAACGCCGCGUGAGGGAUGACGGCCUUCGGGUUGUAAACCUCUUUCAGUAUCGACGAAGCGCCCUGUCGGGUGGUGACGGUAGAUACAGAAGAAGGACCGGCCAACUACGUGCCAGCAGCCGCGGUAAUACGUAGGGUCCGAGCGUUGUCCGGAAUUAUUGGGCGUAAAGGGCUCGUAGGCGGUUUGUCACGUCGGGAGUGAAAACUUACAGCUUAACUGUGAGCGUGCUUCCGAUACGGGCAGACUUGAGGUAUUCAGGGGAGAACGGAAUUCCUGGUGUAGCGGUGAAAUGCGCAGAUAUCAGGAGGAACACCGGUGGCGAAGGCGGUUCUCUGGGAAUAUCCUGACGCUGAGGAGCGAAAGUGUGGGGAGCGAACAGGAUUAGAUACCCUAGUAGUCC
This 782-nucleotide ribosomal RNA is filed under the name uncultured bacterium. RNAcentral describes it as "bacterial SSU rRNA". It matches the Rfam family "Bacterial small subunit ribosomal RNA", at positions 8 to 796 of the family's 1533-position model. The record is from RNAcentral.